GGGAUCGUAGCUCAGUUGGUAGAGCAUGGGAUCGCAACCCAGCGCGCAGGUUCAACUCCUGCCGAACCCA
This 70-nucleotide transfer RNA is filed under the name Paeniglutamicibacter gangotriensis Lz1y. It matches the Rfam family "tRNA". Rfam says of the family: Transfer RNA (tRNA) molecules are approximately 80 nucleotides in length. Their secondary structure includes four short double-helical elements and three loops (D, anti-codon, and T loops). The record is from Rfam by way of RNAcentral. Lineage: Bacteria; Bacillati; Actinomycetota; Actinomycetes; Micrococcales; Micrococcaceae.